GAAAUGCGAUAAGUAAUGUGAAUUGCAGAAUUCAGUGAAUCAUCGAAUCUUUGAACGCACAUUGCGCCCGCCAGUAUUCUGGCGGGCAUGCCUGUCCGAGCGUCAUUUCAACCAUCAAGCCCCCGGGCUUGUGUUGGGGACCUGCGGCUGCCCGCAGGCCCCGAAAUGCAGUGGUGGGCUCGCUGUCACACCGAGCGUAGUAGCAUCACCUCGCUCAGGGCGUGCGGCGGGCUCCGGCCGUUAAAUGGCUCCGGCCAACACAACCCAAGGUUGACCUCGGAUCAGGUAGGAAGACCCGCUGAACUUAA
This 308-nucleotide unclassified non-coding RNA is filed under the name uncultured Ascomycota. RNAcentral's name for it is "sequence contains ITS1". The stretch from base 1 to 105 matches the Rfam family "5.8S ribosomal RNA", at positions 50 to 154 of the family's 154-position model. Lineage: Eukaryota; Fungi; Ascomycota. The record is from RNAcentral.